RNAcentral lists this RNase P RNA (313 nucleotides) under chicken gut metagenome. RNAcentral's name for it is "Bacterial RNase P class A". It matches the Rfam family "Bacterial RNase P class A". From Rfam's summary of the family: Ribonuclease P (RNase P) is a ubiquitous endoribonuclease, found in archaea, bacteria and eukarya as well as chloroplasts and mitochondria. The record is from RNAcentral.
GGCAACACGGCCGGUUACGAGGAAAGUCCGAGCUCCACAGGGCAGGAUAGCUGCUAACGGCAGCCGAAGGCGACUUUAGGGACAGUGCAACAGAAAGAAACCGCUGUGUUUUCACAGCAAGGAUGGAAAGGCGAGGUAAGAGCUCACCAGCGUGCAGGAGACUGCACGGCUAUGUAAACCCUAUCCGGAGCAACACCUAGCAUGGAACGAUGCGGCGGCCCGUCGCGUUCCGAAAUGGUGGCUUGAGCGGUUCGGCAACGGAUCGCCUAGAUAGAUUGUUGUCAAAUACAGAACUCGGCUUAUAUGUUUGGUC